AGAGUUUGAUCCUGGCUCAGGACGAACGCUGGCGGCGUGCCUAACACAUGCAAGUCGAACGGAGUAUGUUAUUUCGGUAAUGUAUUUAGUGGCGAACGGGUGAGUAACGCGUAAACAAUCUGCUAUAGACGGGGACAACAGAUCGAAAGAUCUGCUAAUACCGGAUAAGCCCAUUGGAGCGCAUGCUCUAGUGAGGAAAG
This 200-nucleotide ribosomal RNA is filed under the name uncultured bacterium. Its description in RNAcentral is "partial 16S ribosomal RNA". It matches the Rfam family "Bacterial small subunit ribosomal RNA", at positions 8 to 206 of the family's 1533-position model. The record is from RNAcentral.